GACGAACGCUGGCGGCGUGCUUAACACAUGCAAGUCGAACGGUGAUGCUCCAGCUUGCUGGAGUGGAUCAGUGGCGAACGGGUGAGUAACACGUGAGCAACCUGCCCCAGACUCUGGAAUAAGCGCUGGAAACGGCGUCUAAUACUGGAUACGAAACUGGCCCGCAUGGGCAUUGUUUGGAAAGUUUUUCGGUUUGGGAUGGGCUCGCGGCCUAUCAGCUUGUUGGUGAGGUAAUGGCUCACCAAGGCGACGACGGGUAGCCGGCCUGAGAGGGCGACCGGCCACACUGGGACUGAGACACGGCCCAGACUCCUACGGGAGGCAGCAGUGGGGAAUAUUGCACAAUGGGCGAGAGCCUGAUGCAGCGACGCCGCGUGAGGGAUGACGUCCUUCGGGUUGUAAACCUCUUUCAGCAGGGAAGAAGCGAAAGUGACGGUACCUGCAGAAGAAGCACCGGCUAACUACGUG
This 468-nucleotide ribosomal RNA is filed under the name uncultured bacterium. Its description in RNAcentral is "partial 16S ribosomal RNA". It matches the Rfam family "Bacterial small subunit ribosomal RNA", at positions 28 to 507 of the family's 1533-position model. The record is from RNAcentral.